RNA transcript from Vitis riparia (riverbank grape), 2126 nucleotides. It is a transcript of the gene named elongation factor Tu, chloroplastic-like, with no coding region annotated. The record is from RefSeq and is a predicted model, not a curated record. The transcript has 3 exons. NCBI's taxonomy places the organism in Eukaryota, Viridiplantae, Streptophyta, Magnoliopsida, Vitales, Vitaceae.
UCACUCUCUCAGCCUCGAAUUCAAUAUCCUCAUUUUCCUAUCGAUAAUCCAUCUCCACACAAAACGCUUCCAUGGCUUCCAUCGUCGGAGCCCCAUCCACUCCCUCUAAAUCCCUAUUCACAUCACCGUCACUUUCAAACCCUAAGCCCACUUCCUUUUUCCACAAAACUCAAACCCUAGCCACCAAAUCUAACCCCCCUUUCGCCUCCUCUUUCACCAAUGCCUCCUCCAUUUUCCGAUACUCCGUCCUUUCUUCUCCGUCCACCGGAGCUUCUCCAUUUCGGCGCCGCUCACUCACUGUCCGCGCCGCCAGAGGCAAGUUCGAGCGCAAGAAGCCGCACGUCAACAUUGGAACCAUCGGCCACGUGGAUCACGGCAAGACCACUCUCACGGCGGCUCUGACCAUGGCGCUGGCAUCCAUGGGGAACAGCGCUCCCAAGAAGUACGACGAGAUUGACGCGGCGCCGGAGGAACGGGCGCGUGGUAUCACCAUCAACACCGCUACGGUUGAGUACGAGACGGAGAGUCGGCAUUACGCCCACGUGGAUUGCCCAGGCCACGCUGACUACGUCAAGAACAUGAUCACUGGCGCGGCUCAGAUGGACGGCGCCAUUCUCGUCGUCUCUGGCGCCGAUGGGCCGAUGCCGCAGACCAAAGAGCAUAUUCUUCUCGCCAAGCAGGUUGGAGUGCCCAAUAUGGUGGUUUUCCUCAAUAAGCAAGACCAGGUUGAUGAUGAAGAGCUUCUUCAGUUGGUUGAAUUGGAGGUUCGUGAGCUUCUCGCUUCGUAUGAAUUUCCCGGCGACGAUAUUCCCAUUGUAUCCGGUUCAGCAUUGCUAGCCCUAGAGGCAUUGAUGGCAAACCCUAGCAUUAAGAGAGGAGAGAAUGAAUGGGUCGAUAAAAUCUAUGAAUUGAUGGAUGCUGUUGAUAGUUACAUUCCAAUUCCACAGCGCCAGGUCGAUUUGCCCUUCCUCCUUGCAGUUGAAGAUGUGUUUUCGAUCACUGGUCGUGGGACUGUGGCAACAGGUCGUGUAGAAAGGGGUACAGUCAAGGUUGGGGAGACUGUUGAUCUUGUUGGAUUGAGAGAGACUCGGACCACUACUGUUACUGGAGUUGAGAUGUUUCAGAAAAUUCUAGAUGAGGCACUUGCUGGUGACAACGUGGGGCUUUUGCUGAGAGGUAUUCAGAAGGCUGAUAUCCAGAGGGGGAUGGUUCUGGCAAAGCCUGGAACUAUUACGCCACACACUAAGUUCUCUGCCAUUGUUUAUAUUUUGAAGAAGGAGGAGGGUGGGAGACAUUCGCCCUUUUUUGCAGGGUAUAGGCCACAAUUCUACAUGAGGACUACUGAUGUCACAGGCAAGGUUGCACAAAUCAUGAAUGAUAAGGAUGAAGAGUCAAAGAUGGUUAUGCCGGGAGACCGUGUAAAGAUGGUUGUGGAGCUUAUAAUGCCUGUGGCAUGCGAACAAGGAAUGAGAUUUGCUAUUAGAGAAGGGGGGAAGACUGUGGGUGCUGGUGUAAUCCAGUCCAUUAUUGAAUGAUCUUGGAGUUCAUUUAAUAUUAUUGAUGUUUUUCAUGUCUGGUAUCUGGUCCAGGAUUGCUCUUGAAGACAACUCUUUUUUUUUUUUUUUUUUUUUUUUCAGGAAAGCUCCUCUGAAAGACUAUAUGCUUCCUUUCUUUUUCUUGUGAAUGGAAAAACAAAAAUUUUAUUUAUGCAACAAAAUGAAGUUAUAGCAGGAAGAGAGGAGGAUACCACACUAAUAGUACUUUAGGCUUGCUGAGUUGAGGUUGGCAUUUUGGUUCUUGUAGAAACAUUUGCAGCACUGAGGGAGAAGAAGGAAGCAAUUUGCCCCAGGAUACAUGCUCAUUUAUCAAGCAAUAUUAUCAUGACAUGUUGGUAGCCUUGGCAAGCAUUUGUUAGUAUGCAUUUGCAGAUGAUAUUAUUCACAUGCGCCAGAUGAGCACUUGGAUCAGGGGAAUGGAUUGAUAGCUUUGCUUCCUUUUUUAAGUUUUUGGUUUAAGGUAAUAAAAGAACAUUCAUCAAGGUAAUAUAUCUGUAAAACCUUGUAUGGGUGACAUUAAAACUAAACCGAAGAACAUCAGGAAAAUGAAUUGUGUAGUUUUAUUUUAAA